Molecule: ribosomal RNA, 189 nt
Filed under: uncultured bacterium
Lineage: Bacteria
Description: partial 16S ribosomal RNA
Rfam family: Bacterial small subunit ribosomal RNA (bases 30-189)
Source: RNAcentral
GGAUCUGAGUGUGUAGCUGCCGUGCGCCGGGAUAAAGGCGGGCGCCGCGGGAAGACGCGUGAAGGAUGACGGCCCUAUGGGUUGUAAACUUCUUUUGUAUAGGGAUAAACCUAGAUACGUGUAUCUAGCUGAAGGUACUAUACGAAUAAGCACCGGCUAACUCCGUGCCAGCAGCCGCGGUAAUUAAAA